UACGAAGGGUGCAAGCGUUAAUCGGAAUUACUGGGCGUAAAGCGUGCGUAGGUGGUUCGUUAAGUCUGAUGUGAAAGCCCUGGGCUCAACCUGGGAAUGGCAUUGGAAACUGGCGAUCUAGAGUGCGGUAGAGGGUAGUGGAAUUCCCGGUGUAGCAGUGAAAUGCGUAGAGAUCGGGAGGAACAUCUGUGGCGAAGGCGACUGCCUGGACCAGCACUGACACUGAGGCACGAAAGCGUGGGGAGCAAACAGG
This 253-nucleotide ribosomal RNA is filed under the name uncultured bacterium. RNAcentral's name for it is "partial 16S ribosomal RNA". It matches the Rfam family "Bacterial small subunit ribosomal RNA", at positions 524 to 776 of the family's 1533-position model. The record is from RNAcentral.